Molecule: ribosomal RNA, 454 nt
Filed under: uncultured bacterium
Lineage: Bacteria
Description: partial 16S ribosomal RNA
Rfam family: Bacterial small subunit ribosomal RNA
Source: RNAcentral
GAUGAACGCUGACAGAAUGCUUAACACAUGCAAGUCAACUUGAACUUCGGUUUGGGUGGCGGACGGGUGAGUAACGCGUAAAGAACUUGCCUCACAGUUAGGGACAACAUUUGGAAACGAAUGCUAAUACCUGAUAUUAUGAUUUUAGGGCAUCCUAGAAUUAUGAAAGCUAUAUGCGCUGUGAGAGAGCUUUGCGUCCCAUUAGCUAGUUGGAGAGGUAACGGCUCACCAAGGCGAUGAUGGGUAGCCGGCCUGAGAGGGUGAACGGCCACAAGGGGACUGAGACACGGCCCUUACUCCUACGGGAGGCAGCAGUGGGGAAUAUUGGACAAUGGACCAAGAGUCUGAUCCAGCAAUCCUGUGUGCACGAUGAAGUUUUUCGGAAUGUAAAGUGCUUUCAGUUGGGAAGAAAAAAAUGACGAUACCAACAGAAGAAGUGACGGCUAAAUACGUG